GUACCGUGAGGGAAAGGUGAAAAGAACCCCGGAAGGGGAGUGAAAAGAACCUGAAACCGUGUGCUUACAAGUAGUCAGAGCCCGUUAAUGGGUGAUGGCGUACCUUUUGCAGAAUGGACCGGCGAGUAAUGAUCCCAUGCGAGGUUAAACCGAAGAGGUGGAGCCGCAGCGAAAGCGAGUCUGAAUAGGGCGCGUAGUAUGUGAUUGUUGACCCGAAACCAGGUGACCUAUCCAUGUCCAGGGUGAAAGUGCGGUGAAACGCACCGGAGGCCCGAACCCACGUAUGUUGAAAAAUGCGGGGAUGAGGUGUGGAUAGAGGAGAAAUACCAAUCGAACCUGGAGAUAGCUGGUUCUCUCCGAAAUAGUUUUAGGACUAGCCUCAGAAGCUAAGUCUAAUGGAGGUAGAGCGACUGUUAGGACUAGGGCCCUUUACCGGGUACCGAAUCUUGAUAAACUCCGAAUUCCAUUACGACUCUUCUGGGAGUCACACUGUGAGUGCUAAGAUUCAUAGUGGAAAGGGAAACAGCCCAGACCAUCAACUAAGGCCCCCAAAUUCUUGUUAAGUGGAAAAGGAUGUGGGGCUGCAUAGACAGCUAGGAUGUUGGCUUAGAAGCAGCCAUCAUUUAAAGAGUGCGUAAUAGCUCACUAGUCGAGUGGCCCCGCGCCGAAAAUGUACCGGGGCUAAACAAGAUGCCGAAGUUAUGGAUGCAUCCUUCGGGAUGCGUGGUAGGAGAGCGUUCUAAGGGCGGUGAAGGCAAAUCGUGAGGAUUGCUGGAGCGCUUAGAAGUGAGAAUGCCGGUAUGAGUAGCGAGACACGGGUGAGAAUCCCGUGCACCGAAUGACUAAGGUUUCCAGGGGAAGGCUCGUCCGCCCUGGGUUAGUCGGGACCUAAGUCGAGGCCGAAAGGCGUAGACGAUGGAUAGCAGGUAGAGAUUCCUGCACUAGUGUUAUUUGUUUGAGCGAAGGAAGGACACAGGAGGCUAUGGCAAGCGCGCUGAUGGAUAUGCGCGUCCAAGCAAUGAGUCUGAGGAGGAGUUAAAUGCUUCUUCUCACACGGACAAGUUGUGAUGGGGAGGGAAGUUUAGUACCGAAGUGCCAGACGUCACACUGUCAAGAAAAGUUCCUAGUGAGAAUAACACUACCCGUACCGCAAUCCGACACAGGUAGUCGAGGAGAGUAUCCUAAGGUGAGCGAGAGAACUCUCGUUAAGGAACUCGGCAACAUGACCCCGUAACUUAGGGAGAAGGGGUGCUGACAAUGUCAGCCGCAGUGAAUAGGCCCAGGCGACUGUUUAUCAAAAACACAGGUCUCUGCUAACUCGAAAGAGGAUGUAUAGGGGCUGACACCUGCCCGGUGCUGGAAGGUUAAGUGGACGCGUUAGCCGCAAGGCGAAGCGCUGAAAUGAAGCCCCAGUAAACGGCGGCCGUAACUAUAACGGUCCUAAGGUAGCGAAAUUCCUUGUCGGGUAAGUUCCGACCUGCACGAAUGGCGUAACGACUUCCCCGCUGUCUCGACCAUGAGCUCGGCGAAAUUGCAGUACGAGUAAAGAUGCUCGUUACGCGCGGCAGGACGAAAAGACCCCGGGACCUUCACUAUAGCUUGGUAUUGGUGUUCGAUUCGGUUUGUGUAGGAUAGGUGGGAGACUGUGAAGCAUUGGCGCCAGCUGGUGUGGAGUCAUUGUUGAAAUACCACUCUGGUCACUUUGGAUAUCUAACUAGGAACCGUGAUCCGGUUCUGGGACAGUGCCUGGUGGGUAGUUUAACUGGGGCGGUUGCCUCCUAAAGAGUAACGGAGGCGCCCAAAGGUUCCCUCAGAAUGGUUGGAAAUCAUUCGUAGAGUGCAAAGGCAGAAGGGAGCUUGACUGCGAGACUUACAAGUCGAGCAGGGACGAAAGUCGGGACUAGUGAUCCGGCACCUACUUGUGGAAGUGGUGUCGCUCAACGGAUAAAAGGUAC
This 1955-nucleotide ribosomal RNA is filed under the name Schizochytrium aggregatum. RNAcentral's name for it is "partial Bacterial large subunit ribosomal RNA". It matches the Rfam family "Bacterial large subunit ribosomal RNA", at positions 498 to 2466 of the family's 2925-position model. The record is from RNAcentral. Lineage: Eukaryota; Bigyra; Thraustochytrida; Thraustochytriidae.